RNAcentral lists this ribosomal RNA (546 nucleotides) under Neofusicoccum australe. RNAcentral describes it as "eukaryotic LSU rRNA". It matches the Rfam family "Eukaryotic large subunit ribosomal RNA", at positions 87 to 648 of the family's 3401-position model. Lineage: Eukaryota; Fungi; Ascomycota; Dothideomycetes; Botryosphaeriales; Botryosphaeriaceae. The record is from RNAcentral. RNAcentral also lists the same sequence under 1 other name.
CGGCGAGUGAAGCGGCAAUAGCUCAAAUUUGAAAGCUGGCCCCUUCGGGGUCCGCGUUGUAAUUUGUAGAGGAUGAUUCGGCGAGGGCUCCCGUCUAAGUCCCUUGGAACAGGGCGUCAUAGAGGGUGAGAAUCCCGUAUGUGAUGGGCUGCCUUAGCCAUGUGAAUCUCCUUCGACGAGUCGAGUUGUUUGGGAAUGCAGCUCUAAAUGGGAGGUAAAUUUCUUCUAAAGCUAAAUACCGGCCAGAGACCGAUAGCGCACAAGUAGAGUGAUCGAAAGAUGAAAAGCACUUUGGAAAGAGAGUUAAAAAGUACGUGAAAUUGUUGAAAGGGAAGCGCUUGCAGCCAGACUUGUCCGCAGUUGCUCAGCUUGUCUCCUGACAGGCGUACUCUUCUGCGGCCAGGCCAGCAUCAGUUCGGGCGGUCGGAUAAAGACCUGGGGAAUGUAGCUCCUCUCGGGGAGUGUUAUAGCCCUGGGUGCAAUGCGGCCAGCCUGGACUGAGGAUCUCGCUUCGGCUAGGAUGCUGGCGUAAUGGCUGUAAGCGGC